AGCGGAGCUCGUCGGAGCCUUAUGCAGAGGCAAGCUGGACUCUCUCAGACAACUGCCUCUGAAAGUGGGCAACUUCGUCGGUCGCCGUCUGGAGCUUCCUUCAGUAGUCCUCUACUUGCCUGCUCCAGCUGACUCGGUAGGCGUUGUAGUUCGCCUCGACAUCCUGUAACUGCUUUUGAAGGUCAGAGAACUUUUUUGACCAGUCUUGAUCACAGUCGGUCUAGAUUGUGAG
RNAcentral lists this long non-coding RNA (232 nucleotides) under Elaeis guineensis (African oil palm). Its description in RNAcentral is "long non-coding RNA (EGUI_LNC026019)". Lineage: Eukaryota; Viridiplantae; Streptophyta; Magnoliopsida; Arecales; Arecaceae. The record is from RNAcentral.